Molecule: ribosomal RNA, 490 nt
Filed under: uncultured bacterium
Lineage: Bacteria
Description: partial 16S ribosomal RNA
Rfam family: Bacterial small subunit ribosomal RNA
Source: RNAcentral
AGUGAACGCUGGCGGUAGGCCUAACACAUGCAAGUCGAACGGCAGCAGUAAGAGCUUGCUCUUACGGGUGGCGAGUGGCGGGCGGGUGAGGAAUACAUCGGAAUCUACUUUUUCGUGGGGGAUAACGUAGGGAAACUUACGCUAAUACCGCAUACGACCUACGGGUGAAAGCAGGGGAUCUUCGGACCUUGCGCGAUUGAAUGAGCCGAUGUCGGAUUAGCUAGUUGGCGGGGUAAAGGCCCACCAAGGCGACGAUCCGUAGCUGGUCUGAGAGGAUGAUCAGCCACACUGGAACUGAGACACGGUCCAGACUCCUACGGGAGGCAGCAGUGGGGAAUAUUGGACAAUGGGCGCAAGCCUGAUCCAGCCAUACCGCGUGGGUGAAGAAGGCCUUCGGGUUGUAAAGCCCUUUUGUUGGGAAAGAAAAGCAGCAGGUUAAUACCCCGCUGUUCUGACGGUACCCAAAGAAUAAGCACCGGCUAACUUCGUG